CUACUCGUAGUUCAACUGGAUAGAACAACGGACUUCUAAUCCGUAGGUUGCAGGUUCGAGUCCUGCCGAGUAGGCCA
Molecule: transfer RNA, 77 nt
Filed under: Rickettsiales bacterium
Lineage: Bacteria; Pseudomonadati; Pseudomonadota; Alphaproteobacteria; Rickettsiales
Description: tRNA-Arg
Rfam family: tRNA
About the family: Transfer RNA (tRNA) molecules are approximately 80 nucleotides in length. Their secondary structure includes four short double-helical elements and three loops (D, anti-codon, and T loops).
Source: RNAcentral